GAUGGAGUAAAAGCCUUUUUGAAAAGAGGGUUAAACAGCACGUGAAAUUGUUAAAAGGGGAAGCGCUUGUGACCAGACUUGCGUUUGGUGAAUCACCCAGCUCUCGCGGCUGGGGCACUUCGCCGGCUCAGGCCAGCAUCAGCUCGCUGUCGGGGACAAAAGCUUCAGGAACGUAGCUCUCUUCGGGGAGUGUUAUAGCCUGUUGCAUAAUACCCUUCGGCGGGCUGAGGUACGCGCUCCGCAAGGAUGCUGGGAUAAGGGUCAUCAGCGACCCGUCUUGAAACACGGACCAAGAGGGGUGGGGGGGG
This 308-nucleotide ribosomal RNA is filed under the name Colletotrichum gloeosporioides. Its description in RNAcentral is "eukaryotic LSU rRNA". It matches the Rfam family "Eukaryotic large subunit ribosomal RNA", at positions 359 to 684 of the family's 3401-position model. The record is from RNAcentral. Lineage: Eukaryota; Fungi; Ascomycota; Sordariomycetes; Glomerellales; Glomerellaceae.